This 401-nucleotide ribosomal RNA is filed under the name uncultured bacterium. RNAcentral describes it as "bacterial SSU rRNA". It matches the Rfam family "Bacterial small subunit ribosomal RNA", at positions 29 to 416 of the family's 1533-position model. The record is from RNAcentral.
AAUCAACGCUGGCGGCGUGCCUAACACAUGCAAGUCGAACGCGAAAACCUCGCAAGGGGUGAGUAGAGUGGCAAACGGGUGAGUAACACGUGGGUGACCUGCCUUCGAGUGGGGGAUAACGUCCCGAAAGGGACGCUAAUACCGCAUAACAUCCUGCCUUUUAAGAGGUGGACAUCAAAGACUGGGGAUCGCAAGACCUAGCGCUGGAAGAGGGGCCCGCGCCUGAUUAGCUAGUUGGGGGGUAAUGGCUCACCAAGGCAACGAUCAGUAUCCGGCCUGAGAGGGCGGACGGACACACUGGGACUGAGACACGGCCCAGACUCCUACGGGAGGCAGCAGUGGGGAAUUGUUCGCAAUGGGCGCAAGCCUGACGACGCAACGCCGCGUGGAGGAUGAAGACC